GAACCCGAAACCUCUAAUUAAGGAUAGAAUUGUUCAACCACUACACCACAACCAAUGUUGAUAUAUAGUUGCUUGAGUUAUCAUUAUCCUAUAUUGAUGUUACAUCUUAAUUUGUGGAAACUAACUUCAGACAAGUAGUAUGUAAUUUCUUCCAACACAUGAUUGAGAUGCCUAUAUAGACUUAAAUUUACUUGACUAUUUGUAUCCAUUAAUGACCAAAGUUAGGUUGUUUCGAUUCCAUUAAAUUUUUUAACUAUAUGUUACUCUGACAAUCUCAUAUUAGUUGUCUUUUUAUUGAGCCGGGGACAUGCACAAUCCAAAUACACAUCAAAAUAUCUAUAUCACACACAUCAAAAUCUCCCUCCCUCCCCCCAUAAAAUUCAUAAUAGUUCAGAUAUAUUUUUUCUUGACCCCUAUUGUUAUAGGAAGACAAAAUACUACAAAGACUUCAAGUCAAUGAGUUGUGUAGAUCCGUCCAAAAAAAAAUUUUUACUCAUUUUUCACAUCUCCUACCCUACCCCCUACCUUACCCUACCCCUACCUAAUCCUACCCACUUUCUUACACACCCACCUAACACUCAUCCUCACCAUUGACCAAAAAACAAUACACAUACAUGCCAUUUUCUUUGAUAUUGUUCGCAACACACACAACGCACCAAGAGCACACACUACUGAUUCACGAGAAAUGCACUCACACACUCAUGGAUUGAGGAUAUACACUUAAAAAUUAGGUGAAAGAGGUGGGUGAGGACAGAUCUACCAUCGCACAGACGCACACCCAUCGAUUUUUUAUGCAAGAAAGGUCGAUUCAAAUGGUUAAGGAAGGGAAACGGGUAAGAAUUGCUUGAACAUGGUCAGAAACAGUGUCGCCGGUGAGAAUUUGGUAGUAGUUUGUGUAUCUCCGGCAAAAUUUUCGUCGGAAUCGUCAUCAGCUGGUCGAUUUGACUGGUCCAGUCACGAACACCUCCCUAAAUCUCUUCGUUUUCUUCAUGUUUAAAUUCAACCUUGCUGAAAAAUGUCAAGAGUCGCUAAAAUCCACCCCAUCCCAUUGAUAUUCGUCACACCGGAGUUCGUCAAAGUUUCAGCCGUAUAGUUUCGGUUCCUUCAUUAAUUUUGGUUUUUGGUCACUCAUUGUCCUUAAUAGUUUUCUGCGUUUCUAAUCGAAUUUCGAAAGGUCUUGUUGAAGUUGGCUCAUAGACGAGUGGUGGUAUUCUUCGAGGUUUUCAAAACGGCCCUUAUAUCUCUUAUUAAGUCAAUCGAAAGCUAUUGAGGUCCAGUUCUUCUCUCAUUCUCUAUUUUUAUCUCGAAUUUUGAUUGUUCUUGCGGAUGUGAAUGUUUUUGGUGUGCUUAUCAUGCUUGAAUCUUUACUGUGUGUUUAGUUGAUAUUGGUUGAUGUUGAAUUUGGGCGCGAGUAAUUGAAUUGAUAAUUGAAGCAUGUGUUAAUCAUUGGUUGAGAAUGAAUUCGGGGGUGGAACUGGAAAUUGAUAGAAGAGGGAAUUUAGAUUAACUUUGGUUUAUUAUUGUUUAAUUUGGAGUGAGCAUGAAUAUUAUUGAAACAGAUAGGCAAAUGUAGGUUCGGGUAGGCGAAAUUUAAGAAUUGUGCUUUUGUUGAAUGCGGAAUGUGUGUUGAAUGUUUUCUAGUUUAUCGAAUUUGAUUCAAGUGUAUUUAUUUGGCCAAGGAAUGCCCCGAGGCCUUCAUGUUCAUUUGCCAGGGAAUGCCCCGAAGUACUUAUGUUCAUUCACCGAGGAUGCCCCGAUGUAUUAUGUCUUCAAAGGAGGUUCGUGAUGAAGGCUCGAGGCAUUGGGUAAAGCAACAGAGUUUAGCCUAGGACUAGUUUAGAAUAUGAUUUGUAUUUUCGCACUUUUCUGUUUCAGUUUGUAAUAAUUGGACUGGACAUUAUGAUUUUGGAUUUGUUUUGUUUUGUUGGUUUGAUUGAUUGUUUUGUGUGUUUUAUGUGGUUUAUACAUUCGUAGUGUAAAAUUAGCCGAUAUUCUCCACCAAACGACCGUGGUUGAACCACGGGAUUGAGGGGUACCUAACACCUUCCAUUCGGUCAACAGAAUUCCUUAGCCGGAAUCUCUGUUCGUAAAUCAGUUUUAGAGUCAAAAUAGUUUUGAAAAAGGAUUUUCAAAGGUGACUUGGCAAUCCCGAUUAUGUCAAGUGGCGACUCUGAGUUAAUUAUAAAAUGAAUCCUUUUCAAAAUAAUUUUCAUCUUUUGGAACUUUAAUAAUAAAAACCCUUUUAAAACUUAAAAUUCAUAAUCUUUUUGGUUAAAAAGGGGUGUAGCAGCUCUGGCGACUCUGCUGGGGACUUUUCAGAAUUCGAGCUAAUUUUGGAGUUGUACCGGCUUUGUUCAACAUUAUGGGUGUAUAGACAUUGUUUGUGUUAUUGUUUGUAUUCAUUUUAUCAGUGUUGAGUGCCUACGUGCUCUUUGUUUAUAGUUUUACUUUAUGUGUUACCGCUUUAUAUCUGGCAUCAUGUGCAUAAUCCGAGUCAUUCUUUCUGCAACAAGUCUGUAGUACACGUGUUGUACACGACCUUUAGUUGAGUCACCCUUAUUUUAGGAGGGGGAGCCGUUGGUGUUAUGGAGUGGGUGGAAAGCUGUCACGGCCACUUCGACCAUAUGCACCCCCGAAUAGCCUUGUUAGUGAACCUCAACGUAGGUCAGCCUUUAGUUCAUGCUUAUCUACAUCAUAUUGAGACCUAACGGGACCCACGUGACCCUUCGUAGGAGACUCACCUCUAAAGCAUCUCUACGUGCUAAAUGUUGCAUCUCUAAGGAUAGUGUGGUCAUUUGACGGACUAAUUUGGGAAAAGCAUGUGUUAGAAGUAAGAUGUGUAGACAAGAAAGUGUUGAAAAAAAGUGAGAAAAAGAAAAGGGUGAGUCAAAAAAGAGUUUCGUAAGUUUUAGAGUUCUUUAUGGCUUUUGAUUUUUUUUUUCACAAUCCAAAAAUUCAAAAAGAUUUUUUUUACCUUUCGCACUCAUUUUCUCUUUUUAUUCCUUUACAAUGCAUUCAUAAUUCGAAAAUUUCAAAAGAUUUUGUUUCAAAUAGGAGCUUUUAUAAAAGGAAAAUUCAAAAAAGAUGGUAGAAGUUUUGUAUAUUUCAUAUCGAAAAUAUCAAAAGAAUUUUUCUUUCAUAGUUGUUGGUGUCAUUUUUGUGUGAAGUGUCAAAUUAAAACACAAAAAUAUUUUUCUUUCAUUGUCUGUUUGUAAUCGUGUCGCUCAAGUUAAGUUUUAGUUUGUUAUUUAAUCCUUAAUUGUCCAAUCUGAACGAACUACGCACCCCUGAUUCUCCUCUCUUAGGAGUGAGAUACGUAGGCAACCUAUUGUGGGUUCGGGGAUCUUAUUUCAAAAAUUCAAAAAAAAGAAAAGAUUUUCUUCACUUUUUUUUUAGAGUAGUGUCACAUACAUCUUUAAAGAAAACCACAAAAAGAUUUUUCUUUAAUAGGUUCAAGUGUCAUUUUCAUAUGAAAUUCAAAAUUGAAAUUCCAAAAAGAUUUUUCUUUGGUAAUCAUAGGUUUCAUUUUGUAUAGGAAUUUUAAACGUGAAAAAUGCAAAAAGAGUCUAUUCUUUUGAUAAUUUGUUAUUUUCUUCUCUUUUUAAAGUUUCAAGAAAAGAAAAAAAGAAAGGAAAAAAGUUUAAUUGGUCAUUUUGGCAAAACUUCACGAACUACGCACACCUGAUUCUCCUCUUUCGGGAGUGAGAUACGUAGGCGCCCUUCUUGGGUUCGGUGAUCUUUUCUAAAAGAAAAAAAAAGGUUUUGAAGAAAAUGUUGAACUCUAACAUAUUUGUUGCCUCUUGUUCAGUUAGUUUAAGGUGGUUGGUUUGUGGCAUCCUAGCUGGUCCUCCACAUCGCACCAAAUCUAAAGAAGGUUUAGCUGUGUUCAACAAAGAUACGAUGAGUGACCUCAUGGAUCAAACAAAGAGGCCGAAAAAUGAGAGUUUAAAGGAAGAGAAUUUGAGACUAAGACAACAAAUGAUGGAAAUGUAUCGAGCUUGGGCUAAUGGGCUACCUUCUCCUCCAUUCCCCACUAUUGAUCCUGCCAAUAUCUUGAGUUUUCCAUCACAAUUGCAAAAGUCAGUUCCCUAUUGUUGAUUGACGCACCACAACAUGCCUCGAAAUUCAUGCCACGUCAGCUACAUCUCAAUACAUCCACCACUCAUUCUCUAGCUCCUCGGGUCAUAGUGUUGAUGGUUGUAGUGCUUUGAAAAGAGAAAUGGAAAGGUUAAUUCAAGAAAAUUUGAUCGUAGUGCAAAACAUUGACACUACGAAAGUCACACAGAAUCCUUCACCCACACACGGUAAUGCAUGAUAUGAUAUGUGGGAAGUAAUGAGUCAAACACGGAGAUCCAAAACUUAUUUGUUGAAGAAAAUGUGUCUGACAGUGGUGGAAGCUCUAGUCAUGCUGAUAUAAAAACCAGUGGCUAAGUUGUCAGGCUGAGCAAUUGAGAAGUUACCCCUCUCCCUACUAGGAAGAGGUCUGGUAGUUUGUUUUGUUUUAUUUUCUGUUAUCCGAAUUAUUUUAGGGUUGUAGUUCAGGAUCUAUAUUAUUUUGUUUCUCUUUCGUCUUUGUUUAAACCCUUCUAUCUUUUCUUUCAAUGAAAUGUGGUGUCCCUUGUCGUUUUGUCUCAUUUUAAGUUAUUUGUUUGUUUUCUUUACAUAGUACAUUUUUAUGUUGGCUCUAGUGAUAUGACAUACUGAUGGAACUUUCAGCUAGAUCUUAAAAUCCAAUUUGAGUAUAAACUUUGAAUCAGAGGGCUAAAGUUAGAAAAAGCAUCCGAGAAAAUAUGUAGAGUGCUGAGACAUUUGGUGACAAGUUGAAACCUUUCUAAAAAAUUAAGGCAAUUGUUUUGAGAAUCACAAGAAUAACUUGGUCAUCAAUUGAAAGACAUGUCUCAAUUAGGUCAAAUAGUGGCUGCGUGAACAUAAUGAAAAUCAGCUCCAUAAAAUCAUGAGUCAUUCAAUGUGAGGAAUGUACAACAAAGGUGAAGUUUGCGAAAGAAGUAGUGACGCACAGACUCAGUCAAAGUUAAUGUUGUAAGAGGUGUCACAAUGAUCUUCAUCUUUCAUCUUCACUUGCAUGCUAUGUACUAGUAUUUUCAAGGAUUAAUAUGAUGAAGGCAUUUUAUUCUGUUAUCCAAACAUUGUGUCAUCCUUUAUUUAUCCCAUUUGAGCUUUAGUUCUAUUUUCUUUAAUACCUCUCUUUAAAAUCAAGAUAGAUUCAGUAAAACUCAAAAUAAAAAUGUCGAGAAAAAAAAAUAUGUCCAAAAGGAAAGAAAAGAGAAGAGUAUCAAAAAUAGGGUCAAAAAAAAAUCCCAAAGAGAAAAGAGAAAAAAAAAAAGAAGAAGAAACAAAAAUCAGAAUCAAUCAAAAGAACAAGCUGCCAGAACUAUGCGUGACCUGAUUCUCCUCUCUCAGGGGUGAGAUAUGUAGGCUGCCCUACUCUGGGCUCGGUCCAACCAAAUUAAUAAGUUAGAAUUGUCCAGUCAAAAGAAACUGGGGCAUGAGUUAAUCCUCAUUGUUUGAGUCAAUUCCAAAAGUUGUAAGUCUCACCCUACUUCAAGUGUCGUUUGGGCCUCUUGCCAUCUUUUCUUUAUAACCCUAUCUAAAAGCCAAGUUACAACCAAAGAAAGACCUUCAGAUCAAUCUUUGAGAAUUCUAAGGCUAAGCAUGCAAUGGAUGUGAUGUCGUAUUUUGGGAACUACUUGUCUUCCUUAGCAUAAGAAAUCAGAAGAGAAAUAAAAAUGAGAGAGUCUUAUCCGUAAAAACCCUCACAGGCAUCGUAAGAUGAUAGUAAGUUGAGAGAGAUAAAAUGAGAGAGUUUUAUCGAUGAAAACCCUCACGGGCACUGUAAGACGACGGUGAGUUGAGACAAAUAAAAAUGAGAAAGUCUUAUCGAUGAAAACCCUUACGGGCACCGUAAGACUACUGUGAGUUCAGAGAAAUGAAAAUUAGAGAAUCUCAUUAGUGAAAAAGCCUCACGGAUACCACAAGGCAAUGGUGACCCGAGAGAAAGAAAAUGAGAGAGGCUUGUUGGCGAAAACCCUUCAAGGUGUCACUAGCCGAAUGAGGUCUCUGAAUGCAAUUGACCCAAGAAAGAAACUCAAUUUCAGGGUCAUUAGCUCAACAACUAUUGGUGAAAGUUUGGAUGAAAAGAUCAUGCAGCUUAAUCCAAAUGCAUGGCAUAAUCAUUAGAUUUGAUUGUCAUUUUAGAUAAAUUUCCGUUUCUUUGUUUCAAAUGGGGACAUUCAUUGUCUUUUCUUUCUUCUCUUUAUUUUUAUUUUUAUUUUCUUGAGCCAGUUAUCCAAAUAAAAAAAAUCAUUGUCAUUUUUCUCGUGUCUUUAAGUCAAGUCCAUGACAAAAUAAGUGAGAAAAGAUUUCAAAACUGGCUAUGAAAGAGACAUGAUUGUGAGCCGAAUAAGGCAUGUAGAAAGUUUUUUCAAUAGACAAGCUUGGGAACUCAUGGAAAUACCAAGGUUUAAAGGGUUUAUCUGAGAAACAUGACAAAGCAGAGAUAUUGUGUUUAUUUCGGAGUCACUCUUAAUAAUCUGAGUUUGGGUCAAUGACACGACAAAGCAGGGGCAAGUGCCAGUAAUCUGAAAUAAAAUAAAAAGAAUGAACACUGGAGCAGGUGUCGGGACAGCCAAGUGCCUCCAGUCACCACUAAGUUUUUAACUGACAAAUUUUCUUUGUUGAAACAGGAGAAAAUAUGUUUCACUUAAUUUAGCUACCAUUAAAAAUGCACAUCAGUGAGAUUUUACUUUCUGCUCAGAACCCUCCUGAAAAAUGGGAUUUUACUUUUAUGUUCAGGACCCUCCUGAAAAAUAGGAUUUUACUUUCUGUUCAGGACCCUCCCAAAAAAUGGGACUUUAAUUUCUUUAUGUUCAGAACCCUUCUGGAAAAUGAGAUUUUACUUUAUGUUCAGGACCCUCCGAAAAAAUAGGAUUUUACUUUCUGUUCAGGACCCUCCUGGAAAAUGGGAUUUUACUUUCUGUUUAGGACCCUCCUGAAAAAUGAGAAUUUACUUUGUGUUCAGGACUCUUCUGGAAUAUGGGAUUUUAUAUUUUGUUCAGGACCCUUCUGAAAAGUGAGAUUCUACUUUUUGUUCGGGACCCUACUGAAAAAUGGGAUUUCACUUUCUGCUCAGGACCCUCCUGGAAAAUGGGAAUUUACUUUCUGUUCAGAACCCUUCUGGAAAAUGGGAUUUUACUUUCUGUUCAGGACACUCUUGAAAACUGGGAAUUUAUUCUGUUUAGGACCCUCCAGGAAAAUAGAAUUUUACUAUAUGUUCAGGACCCUUCUGAAAAAUGGGAUUUUACUUUCUGUUUAGGACCCUCCUAAAAAAUGAGAUUUUACUUUCUGUUCAGGACCCUCCUGAAAAAUGAGAUUUUACUUUCUAUUCAGGACCCUCCUGAGAAAUGGGAUUUUACUUUCUUUUUAGGACCCUCUUGAAAAAUGGGAAUUUGCUUUGUGUUCAGAACCCUCCUGAAAAAUUGGAAUUUACUUUGUGUUCAGGACCCUCCUGGAAAAUGGGAUUUUACUUUCUGUUCAGGACCCUCCUGAAAAAAAUAGGAAUUUACUUUGUGUUCAGGACCCUCCUGGAAAAUGGGAUUUUACUUUCUGUUCAAGACCCUCCUGAAAAAUGGGAUUUUACUUUCUGUUCAGGACCCUCAUGCAAAAUGAGAUUUUACUAUUUGUUCAGGACCCUCCUGAAAAAUGGAAUUUUACUUUCUGUUCAGGAUCCUUCUGAAAAAUUGGACUUUACUUUUUUUUUAGGACCCUGCUGAAAAAUAGGAUUUUACUUUAUGUUUAGGACCGUCCUGGAAAAUGAGAUUUUACUUUCUGUUCAGGACCCUCCUGAAAAAUAGGACUUUACUUUCUGUUCUGGGCCCUUUUGGAAAAUGGGAUUUUACAUUAUGUUCAGAACCCUUCAGGAAAAUUGGAUUUUACUUUAUGUUUAGGACCCUCCUAGAAAAUGGGAUUUUACUUUCUGUUCAAGACCCUCCUGAAAAAUGAGAAUUUACUUUGUGUUUAGGACCCUUCUGGAAAAUGGGAUUUUACUUUUUGUUUAGGACCCUCCUGAAAAAUGAGAUUAUACUUUCUGUUCAGGACCCUCCUGAAAAAUGAAAUUUUACUUUCUGUUCAGGACCUUCCAGGAAAAUGGGAAUUUACUUUCUGUUCAGGACGCUUCUGGAAAAUGGGAUUUUACUUUCCGUUCAGGUCCCUCCUGGAAACUGGGAAUUUAUUCUGUUCAGGACCCUCCUGAAAAAUAGAAUUUUACUUUAUAUUCAGGUCCCUCCUGAAAAAUGGGAUUUUACUUUCUAUUCAGGAUCCUCCUGGAAAAUGAGAUUUUACUUUCUGUUUAGGACCCUCCUGAAAAAUGGGAUUUUAAUUUCUGUUCAUGACCCUCCUGAAAAAUGGGAUUUUACUUUCUGUUCAGGACCCUCCUUGAAAAUGGGACUUUACUUUCUAUUCAGGAUCUUCUGAAAAAUGAGAUUUUACUUUAUGUUCAGGACCCUUCUGGAAAAUGGAAUUUUACUUUUACUUUAUGUUCAGGACCCUCCUAGAAAAUGAGAUUUUACUUUUUAUCUCCUGAAAAAUGUUAUUUUACUUUUUGUUUAGGACCCUCCUAUAAAAAUGGGAUUUUACUUUCUGUUUAGGACCCUCCUAAAAAAUGAGAUUUUACUUUCUAUUCAGGACCCUCCUGAAAAAUGAGAAUUUAUUUUCUGUUCAGGACCCUCCUGAAAAAAAUAGGAAUUUACUUUGUGUUCAGGACCCUCCUGGAAAAUGGGAUUUUACUUUCUGUUCAAGACCCUCCUGAAAAAUGGGAUUUUACUUUCUCUCCUGGAAAAUGGGAAUUUAUUUUCUGCUCAGGGAAUUUACUUUCUGCUCAGGGCCCUCCUGGAAAAUGGGAUUUUACUUUCUGUUCAGGACCCUCCUGAAAAAUGGGAUUUUACUUUCUGUUCAGAACCCUCCUGGAAAAUGGGAUUUUACUUUCUAUCAGGGCCUCCUGAAAAUAGGAUUUACUUUCUGUUCAGGACCCUCCUGAAAAAUGGGAUUUUACUUUUUGAUCAGGACCCUCCUAAAAAAUGGGAUUUGCUUUCUGUUCAGGACCCUCCUGAAAAAUGAGAUUUUACUUUCUAUUCAAGACCCUCCUGAAAAAUGGGACGUUACUUUCAAAAAUGAAAUCUUUCUUUAUCAUAAUCUUUAUUUGUGAUAAUUGUCGUUCUAGUUUUUUUUUUUAUUUCAGGAGUCUGCCUUAAGAACAGGGUGAUAAAGCUGUAAGUCAGGUGCCCGCCUGAAUAACUGGGUGAUGAAAUCGGAAGUUGAUGAAAUCAAAAGUCAGGAUCCCACCUGAAGAGCAGGGCAAAUAUGUUGAAAGUCAAACAACAAGUUGAAGAAAUUUCAACUCAGGAGCCCGCCUGAAGAAUAAGGUGAUGAAACUCUAGUCAAGAGUCCAAAAGAAGCUGCAUAGAUAUGAUUUUUGUAAUUUUAUUUAUGUUUUAACUUAUAAUUUUCAUUUUUGAUUUAAUAACAGAGCCGCAGACCAGAACCUCGACGGGUCGUCACUUGACUCUCCAACUCGGUAUAGUCCUUCUCCUUCCUUUGGAGAUACCUGUGACUUGAUUCCCUCAUAACUAAGGAUGAGUAUGAUGUCCAAAGUCAAGACUCGGUUGCCCUCCUUCCUUGUGUUCCUUUCUUCUGAAUAAUGGUCGGUCAAAAUUUUGUCUCGUUAUCUACUUCUUUGUCUGAAAAUACUUUGCAUUUACAUCCAAAGAGGAGCAUAAUGUAGACACAUAAUUUUGUCUGCCCAAAAAUUAAUUUUUACUCAUUUUUCACAUCUCCCUACCCUACCCCUACCUUACCCUACCCCCACCUAAUCCUACCUACUUUCUUACACACCCACCGAACACUCAUCCUCACCAUUGACCAAAAAAUAAUACAGAUACAUGCCAUUUUCUUUGAUCUUGUUCGCAACACACACAGCGCACCAAGAACACACACUACUGAUUCACGAGA
This 10023-nucleotide long non-coding RNA is filed under the name Capsicum annuum. Its description in RNAcentral is "long non-coding RNA (CANN_LNC021453)". The record is from RNAcentral. Lineage: Eukaryota; Viridiplantae; Streptophyta; Magnoliopsida; Solanales; Solanaceae.